AACUGUGCGGCACUGUGCCACGGGACCCUGGUCUUUGAAACCUUGGCGUGCGCGAGAAUUUCCCAGUAUGACAGAGCCAAAACUCCAAGUCAUGUCAGUAGGGCAUGCCCAAUAGAAAAUGCUUUGACAUCUAACAACACCCAGAACCAAUGAUUCCUCCCUGUGGUACCAAGAAGACCUAGACAUGAUCGGAACCUAAAUGCUGGAACUCUUUCAGGAGCAAAGGGUCUGUUGACCAGAAAGAUCCAGGGGUAAAAUCCACCUCAACAUACCCGUGUAGUCAAAUUUGACACCCUCCAAUCAGACCCUGCCAAGCCAAAAUUCCUAAUACGUUUCCUUGCCAUCUGUAUUAGUCUGUUUUCACGCUGCUGACAAAGACAUACCUGAGACUGGACAAUUUACAAAAGAGGUUUAAUUGGACUUACAGUUCCACGUGGCUGGGGAAACCUCACAAUCAUGGCAGAAGGCAAGGAGGAGCAAGUCACAUCUUACAUGGAUGGCAGCAGGCAAAAACAAAGAGCUUGUACAGGGAAACUCCUGUUUCUCAAAACCAUCAGACCUCAUGAGACUUAUUCACUAUCACAAGAACAGCACAAGAAAGACCUGCCCCUAUGAUUCAAUUAUCUCCCACUGGGUCCCUCCCACAACAUGUGAGAAUUCAAGAUGAGAUUUGGGUGGGGACACAGCCAAACCAUAUCACCCUCUGACCCCUUAAAUCUUGCCCCAGACCCCAAAUUAGGAGACAGAUGUGAGCCAUGCCUCCAGUCUCCUUGCUGGGUGGCCCUGCAAUAAAGCCUUUCUGUUCUCAAAAGCUGGUACCAUAGUAUUGGCUUCUAUGUGCAUCAGGCAGUGAGCCUAUUUGCUCAGAAACAAUACUAAAGCACCAUACUUUGGGGUAUCAUUCUCUGAGCCCCAACCAGGGGUCAUUCCUGAGGCCAUGAAUGAGGGAGAGAGUUUCUGGCUGAGGAAACUUGCCCGUAAGUCUUGCACCAUCUGGCCCAUGCUGACCAUCACAGUCUCACUUUAUCUUCUUUCCAGCCACAUUGGCCUUUCAGUUCCUCAAACAUACCCGCGCUGGCUGGUUUCAGAACUUCUGCCUGGAUCACUGUCCUCUCCCCCCUCCCUCUUCCCCCUCCUGUCUCAAACCCUCCAAUGUAAACUUCAGUCUCACCUUAAAUGUCACUUCCUCUGGAGCCCUUUUCAUGGUCCCUGGUUUAAAUUUAGUCCAUA
Molecule: long non-coding RNA, 1230 nt
Filed under: Homo sapiens (human)
Lineage: Eukaryota; Metazoa; Chordata; Mammalia; Primates; Hominidae
Description: non-protein coding lnc-TMEM109-4:5
Source: RNAcentral